AACACGUGGCCAAACUACCCUACAGAGAACGAUAACCUCGGGAAACUGAGGCUAAUAGUUCAUACGGGAGUCAUGCUGGAAUGCCGACUCCCCGAAACGCUCAGGCGCUGUAGGAUGUGGCUGCGGCCGAUUAGGUAGACGGUGGGGUAACGGCCCACCGUGCCGAUAAUCGGUACGGGUUGUGAGAGCAAGAGCCCGGAGACGGAAUCUGAGACAAGAUUCCGGGCCCUACGGGGCGCAGCAGGCGCGAAACCUUUACACUGCACGCAAGUGCGAUAAGGGGACCCCAAGUGCGAGGGCAUAUAGUCCUCGCUUUUCACGACUGUAAGGCGGUCGUGGAAUAAGAGCUGGGCAAGACCGGUGCCAGCCGCCGCGGUAAUACCGGCAGCUCAAGUGAUGACCGAUAUUAUUGGGCCUAAAGCGUCCGUAGCCGGCCACGAAGGUUCAUCGGGAAAUCCGCCAGCUCAACUGGCGGGCGUCCGGUGAAAACCACGUGGCUUGGGACCGGAAGGCUCGAGGGGUACGUCCGGGGUAGGAGUGAAAUCCCGUAAUCCUGGACGGACCACCGAUGGCGAAAGCACCUCGAGAAGACGGAUCCGACGGUGAGGGACGAAAGCUAGGGUCUCGAACCGGAUUAGAUACCCGGGUAGUCCUAGCUGUAAACGAUGCUCGCUAGGUGUGACACAGGCUACGAGCCUGUGUUGUGCCGUAGGGAAGCCGAGAAGCGAGCCGCCUGGGAAGUACGUCCGCAAGGAUGAAACUUAAAGGAAUUGGCGGGGGAGCACUACAACCGGAGGAGCCUGCGGUUUAAUUGGACUCAACGCCGGACAUCUCACCAGCUCCGACUAUAGUGAUGACGAUCAGGUUGAUGACCUUAUCACGACGCUAUAGAGAGGAGGUGCAUGGCCGCCGUCAGCUCGUACCGUGAGGCGUCCUGUUAAGUCAGGCAACGAGCGAGACCCGCACUUCUAAUUGCCAGCAGCAGUUUCGACUGGCUGGGUACAUUAGAAGGACUGCCGCUGCUAAAGCGGAGGAAGGAACGG
This 1043-nucleotide ribosomal RNA is filed under the name Haloferax sp. RNAcentral describes it as "bacterial SSU rRNA". It matches the Rfam family "Archaeal small subunit ribosomal RNA", at positions 95 to 1134 of the family's 1478-position model. Lineage: Archaea; Methanobacteriati; Methanobacteriota; Halobacteria; Halobacteriales; Haloferacaceae. The record is from RNAcentral.